Molecule: non-coding RNA, 71 nt
Organism: Phthorimaea operculella (potato tuberworm)
Lineage: Eukaryota; Metazoa; Arthropoda; Insecta; Lepidoptera; Gelechiidae
Source: the annotation of a GenBank genome assembly
UCUCCGGUAGCUCAGUCGGUAGAGCGGUGGAAUGUUAUUCCAUGGUCCUAGGUUCAAGUCCGGCUACAGAA